UUUGUGUCCCUGUGUACUUGAGAUUAGGGA
Molecule: non-coding RNA, 30 nt
Filed under: Homo sapiens (human)
Lineage: Eukaryota; Metazoa; Chordata; Mammalia; Primates; Hominidae
Source: RNAcentral